Molecule: ribosomal RNA, 253 nt
Filed under: uncultured bacterium
Lineage: Bacteria
Description: partial 16S ribosomal RNA
Rfam family: Bacterial small subunit ribosomal RNA
Source: RNAcentral
UACGGAGGGGUCUAGCGUUGUUCGGAAUUACUGGGCGUAAAGCGUGCGUAGACGGUUAUGUAAGUCGGGUGUGAAAGCCCCGGGCUCAACCUGGGAAUGGCAUUUGGGACUGCAAGGCUCGAGUGCGGCAGAGGAGACUGGAAUUCCUGGUGUAGCAGUGAAAUGCGUAGAUAUCAGGAGGAACACCGAUGGCGAAGGCAGGUCUCUGGGCUGACACUGACGCUAAUGCACGAAAGCGUGGGGAGCAAACAGG